RNAcentral lists this ribosomal RNA (253 nucleotides) under uncultured bacterium. RNAcentral describes it as "partial 16S ribosomal RNA". It matches the Rfam family "Bacterial small subunit ribosomal RNA", at positions 524 to 776 of the family's 1533-position model. The record is from RNAcentral.
UACAGAGGUCCCGAGCGUUGUUCGGAAUUACUGGGCGUAAAGGGCUCGUAGGCGGCCAACUAAGUCAGACGUGAAAUCCCUCGGCUUAACCGGGGAACUGCCUCUGAUACUGGAUGGCUUGAGAUUGGGAGAGGGAUGCGGAAUUCCAGGUGUAGCGGUGAAAUGCGUAGAUAUCUGGAGGAACACCGGUGGCGAAGGCGGCAUCCUGGACCGGUAUUGACGCUGAGGCGCGAAAGCCAGGGGAGCAAACGGG